UACCCGACCCUCCGGGGAAGAGGCCAGUGUCGACAUACUCGCGACCAUCGCAAGUUCAGUAUAAGUUGGAAUCACCGACUUCUCAGUGUUUCCGGACACGUCUGAACCACGUCUCACUCUCCCACCAGUCACGCCACCGGAAGCUGCUCAUCGCCGGAGUCGAGUCCGCUCGCUGUCUUCCGAGAGCCGGAGCAGAUCCCUUAUCACUACCAGCUCUGGAGGGCAUCCAUCAAUCACUGCCAGUGAGCUGCUAAACCCUCCCCACCCACACACACACACACACACACACACUCACUCGUCUUUAGUUUUGACAAGUUGAUUUAGAUCAACUGACGAAACUGUAGAUCAUUUAAUCAGUUAAUAACUUAUUAUUUUGUCACCACAAGUGAAGGCCGCCCCCUUCUCGUCCGUCGACUAAAUUGACCAUCAUUGUGAUCUCUGCUAUAUGAAGUUUAGUUUAAAUUGGUUUUGAGAUUGUAUUUCCUCUAUUGGAUGACAAUCCUUGUAUCUUCUGACUUUCAAAUUUCCAGUCCAAGGCGGUUAAGUUUAGGGCGCGGAGUACGCAAAGGGUUAGGAUGAUCUCUUGGCAGACACGGUUAAGACGCAGGUUGUGGAAGAUAAACACGGAUUCCGUGGCCGAGCAUCCCUUUAAACCAGAUUGGAGUAAAAAGAAUCACUGGGAUUAAAUUCUGUAAAGGAUGAGAAAUAAAAGCCUAAAUUGGUCUGACUUAAAUACAACAAAUAGACAACAAAAAAAGCUAUGAAAUAAUUUCAUCCAAGGGUUUGGCAAUAAUAAAAGUUUUGUACCAAGGUAAUAAAAGAAAUUUUGCGGAAUUCCAUUUUUUUAAUCAAUUGAAAUAAUGCAGUGUACUGGAUUAUACACCUUUCCUUUUUUCUUUACUUUUGUCAUGAGAAGUUUAACAACAUUUUCGAGCCCCCUCAUGGAUUUCCUGU
Molecule: long non-coding RNA, 954 nt
Filed under: Scophthalmus maximus (turbot)
Lineage: Eukaryota; Metazoa; Chordata; Actinopteri; Pleuronectiformes; Scophthalmidae
Description: lncRNA (ENSSMAG00000024914.1)
Source: RNAcentral